This 76-nucleotide transfer RNA is filed under the name Candidatus Taylorbacteria bacterium RIFCSPHIGHO2_01_FULL_49_60. RNAcentral describes it as "tRNA-Val". It matches the Rfam family "tRNA". Rfam says of the family: Transfer RNA (tRNA) molecules are approximately 80 nucleotides in length. Their secondary structure includes four short double-helical elements and three loops (D, anti-codon, and T loops). RNAcentral also lists the same sequence under 2 other names. Lineage: Bacteria; Candidatus Tayloriibacteriota. The record is from RNAcentral.
GCGCCCUUAGCUCAGUUGGUAGAGCAGCCCCCUUACACGGGGAAGGUCAGGAGUUCGAGUCUCUUAGGGCGCACCA